This 369-nucleotide ribosomal RNA is filed under the name Escherichia coli. RNAcentral's name for it is "bacterial SSU rRNA". It matches the Rfam family "Bacterial small subunit ribosomal RNA", at positions 1 to 366 of the family's 1533-position model. The record is from RNAcentral. Lineage: Bacteria; Pseudomonadati; Pseudomonadota; Gammaproteobacteria; Enterobacterales; Enterobacteriaceae.
AAAUUGAAGAGUUUGAUCAUGGCUCAGAUUGAACGCUGGCGGCAGGCCUAACACAUGCAAGUCGAACGGUAACAGGAAGCAGCUUGCUGCUUCGCUGACGAGUGGCGGACGGGUGAGUAAUGUCUGGGAAACUGCCUGAUGGAGGGGGAUAACUACUGGAAACGGUAGCUAAUACCGCAUAAUGUCGCAAGACCAAAGAGGGGGACCUUCGGGCCUCUUGUCAUCGGAUGUGCCCAGAUGGGAUUAGCUUGUUGGUGGGGUAACGGCUCACCAAGGCGACGAUCCCUAGCUGGUCUGAGAGGAUGACCAGCCACACUGGAACUGAGACACGGUCCAGACUCCUACGGGAGGCAGCAGUGGGGAAUAUUG